Molecule: long non-coding RNA, 312 nt
Organism: Venturia canescens
Lineage: Eukaryota; Metazoa; Arthropoda; Insecta; Hymenoptera; Ichneumonidae
Exons: 2
Source: RefSeq, a predicted model, not a curated record
CGAAAACCUGAAAUUCAAGCAAAUUUUGAAACAUUUAUUUCAAUCUACUUUUUUCACCAAUAUAACGUCAAGUUGUUUAAAAAUUUGGGUCGCUUUUGCUCGAAAAGAAACACAAUAUUCAAGAAUAGCGAUUGAGGCAAUGAAUGAAAAUCGAUGAAUAAGCAGAGCGUUAGAACGGUGAGUGAAUUCGGAAGGUCAAAGUUGACGUACAUUUCCUGCGGUGUCUUCGAUGACAAGGAGAAUAGGACUCUCAACUUUGGCCAUUUUUCUGUACAUGCUGUUGAGACUGAAGCCAUGUUGGCUUGUGCUGAA